GUUGAGUUGAGUUGAGUUGUGUUAGGGUCUCAUUGGUAAGUGCUACAAGAUCUCAUACAUUGGAACCUGUGGUUAUGGACCCGAAUCGAUUAGUAUGGAACAUAUUAUUUUCCAAGUGAAAUCCCCUAGUAUAUGAAAGAGUAAAACGGUUCUUUCAUUAUUGUGGAAUAAGAAGCCUUCAUAUCUUAAUGCAUGUAUUUAAUU
This 204-nucleotide unclassified non-coding RNA is filed under the name Hevea brasiliensis (rubber tree). Lineage: Eukaryota; Viridiplantae; Streptophyta; Magnoliopsida; Malpighiales; Euphorbiaceae. The record is from RNAcentral.